Long non-coding RNA from Prionailurus viverrinus (fishing cat), 576 nucleotides. RefSeq lists it as uncharacterized. The transcript is spliced from 2 exons. NCBI's taxonomy places the organism in Eukaryota, Metazoa, Chordata, Mammalia, Carnivora, Felidae. The record is from RefSeq and is a predicted model, not a curated record.
AAACGUUUCAUUGUUUCAUUGACUUCUUUAUUGCAAAAAAUGGGAAGAAUUCCACGUGAGCACAUGCACACGAGCAAAACAGAAAAAGAAAACAGAAUACAAACAAGCUAACUCCACCAUUUGGAGAUUAACUGUGAUUGAGAACUGGCUAUAAAAUCCUUCCAGGUGUUUCAUGGAUUCACUAAUUUACAGGAAUAGGGCCAUGCAAUGAAAGUUUUCCAGCGUGCAUUAUGAACCACUUUUGUACUCAUCAAUAACCAUGAACGACUUUUUACAACAUCUUCAAAAAAAUUUAAAAAUUAGAAGUGAUGAAAAUCACUGCGUAGAAACGCUAUAUGAAAUCAACAGUUCCAGGGGCUCUUGGGGAAGUAAUGGGGAGUUGCAAGCUCUCAACCUUCUCCCCUCGCAGUUACUUCCUGUAGCAACUUUGGAACACCUUUGGGAACACGCUUUGAAGUCCUUACCUGCAGCCUGGCUUUCAGUGGCUAAAUGGGAUUCCCAUGUGUGGACACCUCAAUUGACUGACACUAGUGAAUGAAAUUUGGCUUGUUUCCAAUUUUGUCCUUAUCAUAAAAA